RNAcentral lists this transfer RNA (73 nucleotides) under bacterium ADurb.Bin157. RNAcentral describes it as "tRNA-Pro". It matches the Rfam family "tRNA". From Rfam's summary of the family: Transfer RNA (tRNA) molecules are approximately 80 nucleotides in length. The record is from RNAcentral. RNAcentral also lists the same sequence under 3 other names.
CGGGGCGUAGCGCAGUUGGUAGCGUGCAUGGUUCGGGACCAUGAGGUCGCUGGUUCGAGCCCAGUCGCCCCGA